This 544-nucleotide long non-coding RNA is filed under the name Homo sapiens (human). RNAcentral's name for it is "HSALNT0144428". The stretch from base 1 to 70 matches the Rfam family "ZFAT antisense RNA 1 conserved region 3", at positions 11 to 80 of the family's 80-position model. The record is from RNAcentral. Lineage: Eukaryota; Metazoa; Chordata; Mammalia; Primates; Hominidae.
GUGAAAGGAACCUGGGAAGCCUCUGCCACGUGCACAGCUGUGUAAGGAGAAGGAUCUCUCUAUGUUUUCAGGGCUGACCUGCAGCAGAGACACCUACAUAUAAGCAUAAACUUGAGAAAGCAAUGAGCACCCAGGGGAGACGGGGCUGCCGCUUGGGCUUGCUACUUACCAGUGCUGUGUGAACUUUAAGAUGUGCCUGUAGCUUAUAUUUAUCUGGAGUUGAGUAGUCACAGCCAUCGGUGGGACACUUCAGCAAGAUGUUACUGUGUUUCUGAAUUACGUGGCGUUUAAGGCAGUUUUUGGUGAUGGAAGAAUAAUGACACUGAGAGCAAUAAUACAGAUGUUCCCGGGUGUGGGUGCGGACAUGCAUAUCAAAAUGCACUUGGUACCAAAAAAGUUUGCCUAAAAAAAUAUUUUCACAUGAGAACAAGGAAGUUUCAUUUUGACUGAUUUUGAAUUUUUUAAAUUAUUAUUAUUUUUUAUCUACAAUAUCUAUCUCCCUCUUGCGCUUGUCCGGGUCACCCUUCAUACUUUUCACCACAUU